RNAcentral lists this non-coding RNA (86 nucleotides) under Corynebacterium ulceribovis DSM 45146. Its description in RNAcentral is "L31-Corynebacteriaceae ribosomal protein leader". It matches the Rfam family "L31-Corynebacteriaceae ribosomal protein leader". Lineage: Bacteria; Bacillati; Actinomycetota; Actinomycetes; Mycobacteriales; Corynebacteriaceae. The record is from RNAcentral.
ACUCAGGCACGAUCUGCGCCUUAUAUAUACGCACCAAUCAAGCGUUAUCUGCGCGCCGAACCGACCUGAAGUUCAAUCCUGAGGGA